This 253-nucleotide ribosomal RNA is filed under the name uncultured bacterium. RNAcentral's name for it is "partial 16S ribosomal RNA". It matches the Rfam family "Bacterial small subunit ribosomal RNA", at positions 524 to 776 of the family's 1533-position model. The record is from RNAcentral.
GACGAACCGUGCAAACGUUGUUCGGAAUCACUGGGCUCAAAGGGCGCGUAGGCGGGCAGCGAAGUCAGGGGUGAAAUCUUUCGGCUUAACCGGAAAAUAGCCUUUGAUACUGGCUGUCUUGAGGGAGGUAGGGGCAUGUGGAACUUCCGGUGGAGCGGUGAAAUGCGUUGAUAUCGGAAGGAACGCCGGUGGCGAAAGCGACGUGCUGGACCUUUUCUGACGCUGAGGCGCGAAAGCUAGGGUAGCGAACGGG